GACGAACGCUGGCGGCGUGCUUAACACAUGCAAGUCGAACGGUAAGGCCCUUCGGGGUACACGAGUGGCGAAGGGGCGGGUAACACGGGGGUAAGUGGCCAUGCACCUCGGGAUAAGCCUGGGACACUGGGACUAAUACCGGAAAUUCAGAUCAUGCUGCAUGGUGGGGGGUGGAAAGUUUUUCGGUGCAGGAUGAGCCCGCGGCCGAUCAGCUCGCUGGUGGGGUACUGGCUUACAAGGGCGACGACGGGUAGCCGGCCGGGGAGGGUGAGCGGCCACACUGGGCCUGCGACACGGCCCAGACUCCUACGUGAGGCAGCAGUGGGGAAUAUUGCACAAUGGGCGCAAGCCUGAUGCAGCGACGCCGCGUGCGUGAUGACGGUCUUCGGGUUGUAAACCCCUUUCUGUAGGGACGAAGCGCAAGUGACGGUACCUGCAGAAGAAGCACCGGCCAACUACGUG
Molecule: ribosomal RNA, 462 nt
Filed under: uncultured bacterium
Lineage: Bacteria
Description: partial 16S ribosomal RNA
Rfam family: Bacterial small subunit ribosomal RNA
Source: RNAcentral